Molecule: RNA transcript, 4757 nt
Organism: Ctenopharyngodon idella (grass carp)
Lineage: Eukaryota; Metazoa; Chordata; Actinopteri; Cypriniformes; Xenocyprididae
Gene name: serine/threonine-protein kinase pim-2-like
Exons: 9
Source: RefSeq, a predicted model, not a curated record
UUUGUGUAGUUAUGUAACAGUGACACUGACAGUUAAAUGGUCACUGAACAAUCUUCUUUUACUUCUUACAUAAUCGCCUGGCUUUGUACGAACUAAUGAACCUAGCAAAACAUAUGCCAGUUGACAGAUCCUUGUGUGCAUACUAUGAGAAUAUAUUAUUUACUGUUAAAUUAUGAAGAACUAAGGCAGCAUGUCACCAAAAUUCAAAGGGCCUAAGACAAAUUUGAAAUAAGAAAGCCUACUGGACACAUAAUAACCAUGGUAGACUCUCACAGUGGUGGCCUCCAUUUUAUUUUUGAAUAGUAGUCUGCAAUUUUCAUUUUUAUUUAUUUAUUUAUUUUUUUAAUUAAAUUUUUAAGUUGUUUCGUACUUGUGUCAUAAAAGAUGAACACCUCUUAAUAUUAUAAUUUUCAUGCUUUUUACAUUGGUUAAUGUUUCAGGUAGGUUUAUUUUUGGACACCGAUUUCUAUAUAGACAUAAACCUUGCCAUUUUUAUACACUUCCACCAUACUGACUAGGAUAAAGGAUACAGUUAGUUUAACACACACUGAUUCUUUUUGUGAACACAUGGUCUUAUAUACAUAGGUGCCACUGUUUGUUAAGUUAACCAGACAGUUGAUGGUUGCCAUUAACUUCAAUAGUAUUUUUUUUUUUCCUACUAUGGAAGUCGAUGGCUUCUGCAACAUUCUUCAAAAUAUCUUCUUUUGUGUUCAGCAUAAGAUAUAAACUCAUAUGGGGUUGGAACAACUUGAGGGAGAAUAAAUGAUGCACUAUCCCUUUAAAUUUCACGUAUUUUCUAAGUAUAGAGCAUGUAUUUAAAAUAAUACUAAAUAAAUUAUUUAAAAAUAUAAGCAAUGAAUGCCCUGAGCAUACAGAUUUCCUUUAGAUUUUUUUUAUUUUGUUUUCGUUUCGUUUUAUAUUUAAAUAAAAAGCCCAUUGCUCUGCACCUGAGUCCUCGUCUCACCCCUUCACCUCAAAACCUGACAAGUUGAUACAUGUAUCCCAGUAUUACUGCGUUCCCUUCUUUAUCCAAAACAAGCUAUUAUAAAAGUUUGACAAUUGGUAAGUUCAGAAGUAGUAGUCAUCAUAGUUGGGUAAACAUAGUAGUGGAUGGGAGACUACAGAAAAUACAGUUAGCCUACUGUUGGCCUGCAGUCCACCAAAAUAUUUUAAUAAAAAAAAAAAAAAAAAUAUAUAUAUAUAUAUAUAUUUUUUUUUUUUUUUUUUUUUUCGGAUUUCCUAUACUAUUUUAAGUCGUAAAGUGAGCAGGAUAUAUUAAAAUGUAGCACAAGGAUUCGGCAGGCAUGUCUGCGUGAUACAAAGUGGGGCAGCCGGUCUCGGAGCCCUCCCUAGCUCUACAGCGCCCCACAAAUUUCCAAUGUAAAUCUGUGGUGAGAAAUGGAACUGCAGCGCGCUCUCAGAGAGGCACUGGGACAGAUUUCUGGUUGCCCCGCUUAUUUUUAAAGUUAGGUAAACACAACUCCAGACAAGACGUUAUCAGUCCGCUUCAGAUAUGUGUCUGCAUCAGGUCAGUAACUAGUUGGCAUGUCUGUUCUUCCUAUGUGGAGUAGCGUAUCAAAUUAAUGAUAAACCCUUCAAUUUAAACGUGCUCAUGUGAAAAGAUUUCAUAUACAGUAGUUCUGUUGUGUUUGUUUUAUGUUUGUUUGAGAAAAGACUACUUUUUUCCUCACUGGAAUUCCUGCAUAACUUGCAAUAUUAUAAAACAACAUUCUGAAGCAAUAAAUACUACAUUAAGCAAUUCUAAGAUGACAUUCUACGCGUUUUUUUUAUUUAUUUAUUUUUAUUAUUAUUAAACUUUCAAAACUACAGACUUCAACAGCAACACAAUUCUGUUUACUAGAGUGUCAAUCAUCAUUAGAGCGCCACCCUCAGGAUAAUUAACGCAAGGACAUGAGAAUUCUGUCAAAAGUGUGUCUGAUGUGUUCAGCGAUUAGAACAUAAAUCUUACAAAAAUCUAGCGCUAAGACCCUGAAUCUGCCCUAAAUGUCUGUCCAGGAGCCGCUACUGCUCAUGUGUGUUGAAGAAAACGUCAAAAUGAAGUUUGUAACUAUUCAAUAAUGUGUUCAGAUUUCUCUGCUCAUGCACGCGACUUCAGGUGUCCAUGCGUGCGAAUGCGUGAUUCGAAUUUUAGUCGCUAUAGCGACGCGUGUUAUGAAUCCUGACUGCACAUGUUUACACUUGAACCGAUCGCUAUAUGUUGAUUGAGAGACGAGGCGAAUUCAGAGACUUUGGCAGAAUAUUUUCUGUGCUGAUCUUGCGAUUUUGAAGCUGUUCAGGAGGAUUUCAGAGAGGAGACUUUUAUUCUAGAAGGAGAUCGGAGGAUAUAUCCUUUACAUAAAGUUUUAUUUUUUGAAGGAGUUCAUAUUAUUUCUAAGGACAGUUUUAUUCUAUUGUUCAUUUCUUAUUAUAGAAGGAGUUUGGAGUUUUAUUUAAUUUUUUAUUGUUUUUUAAUUUUUUAAUUUAUUUAAUUUAUUUUUUGGGGAGGGGGGAUUCCUUAGGAGAAUUGUAUUUUAUUGUUUUUGUAUUGUAUGUUGUAUUGUUUUAUUUUAGUUUACAGGAGGAUAUCGAUGGCUCACAUGAGUGAAAGAGGAGGUGAGUGCUUUAGGUUUUCAUUUGUUUAUGGUAUGUUAUGGUAUGAUGUUGUACAAUGAUUGACUAAAUAUGAAGAAACUUGUGUCAGGUAACCCAUUUGAUCCCCCAAUUUUCCCAGCUAAGUGAUCACAUGUAUUUGAUUCCUAUUCCUUGCAUAUGAAAUAAACUUUUCAAUUUGAGUAACUAUAGUAAUAGUUUGUAAUUGACCACUGCCAUUGAUUAUUAUUAAAACAUUUGAUUUGGAGACCCGGUUCUGAGGACCGUGAUCAGGAUCCGCUGCCAGACUCGACCCAGACACAGAGAGAGCCAGGAGCUUCCUGGAUAUUUAACACCUCUGUCUUCUGACUUGGCUGUUUCUGUGUCCUCAGGUCAGGAUCACCGGAGGAGGGAGUGGCAGAGCGGCAGCCAGCAGAGGCCAGAUGAUGGACGUCCGUCCACUUCAUCUAAACUCUCUCGCAGAGAUUCCCUCUCUGAGGACAAUGUAGUGAGGCGGUUCAGCAGAGAGUCCAUCAGCCUUAGCAGCAGAGGCUCGCACAGCGUCGAAUGGAGGUGGAGUGGUGAUAUUUCGGACAGCCCAAGCGAACGGGGCAGUUGCAGCAGCAUCUGUUUGUCCAGGUCCGACAGCCUCGAAGGGUGGACGUGCCCUCCGCUGCCAGGUCAAGUUCCUCUUGAGCCACCAGAGACUUCACAUGGCCGAACUGCUCCGGGAGCCAGGGAAUCUUCUCCUGUGACCAAGAGCUCAACAGAAAAACCUACAGAAUGCAGGAAGAGGAAAGGAUUUGGUUCUUUCUGGAAGAGGCUAUGGAAGGCUCUGAAGCUUCCUUUCUGCUGCUGUUUCCACUGCAGUUCUGUGGAUGUUGUGGAGCCUUUUGUCCCUCCAUCAGAUCUGGAGUCUGAGAUUGAUCCUGAGCCGUCAUCACCUGCACCAGAUCACUCCGGCGUCAAGCCAUAUAAUGAGUCCUUUGAGUCUCUCUACUACGUGGGAAAGAUGAUCGGAUCCGGAACAUUUGGCAGUGUGUUCGAGGGAACACGCAAAUUUGAUGGCAAAAAGGUUGCCAUCAAACGGAUGCGCAAGUUUGACAACUUUCUUUAUCUUGAUAUCCCUGGGCAUCCUGAACCUCUCAUUACAGAAGUGGCGCUGCUGCUAAUGAUGAGGCGAGAACCCAUAAGCCCCUACGUCAUUCAACUCUACGAGUGGUUCGAACACCCUCGAAAAUUCACUCUGGUUAUGGAGUACCCCGAACCCUGCGAGAGCUUGCUGGACUUCAUCGAUCGCAAUCCUCAGCUGGAUGAAACAAUAGCUCGGGUCUUCAUGCGUCAGGCUGUGCUGGCAGUACAACACUGCAUCGAGCAUGAUGUUUUCCACAAUGACAUUCAUGCGGACAAUUUCCUGUUGAAGCACACGUUAGAGAUCAAGCUGAUAGACUUUGGCUGCGGUCAGCUAUUUAGUAGCGAUGGCUACGAGACCGACACAUACGUUGGAAUACAGGAUCACUGCCCACCUGAAGUCUUCACAGAUCCUCGAUUCCACGCCGUCCCAGCAAAUGUCUGGGCUCUAGGAGUGAUGUUGUAUAAGAUGGUGAACGCUUGUCCUCCUUUUCGCAACAGAAGGGAAAUCACACAAGCCAAAGUUACAUUUCAGAGCUCCAACUUAUCCAAAGAAUGCAGUGAUCUGAUUAGCCAGUGCCUCGCCCGGGAUCCAACUAAACGGCCGACGUUAGAGCAGAUGUUACAACAUAAGUGGAUUAGGAAUGAUCUAGAUUGAAGAAGUUCAGGAGAUUCACUCGAUCAGGGAUUUCAGGAAAUAACUUGAGCUCGAGACUUGACACGAAGCCUGAAGUCCAACUCCAACCUGACUGGGAACUCAGAGCCUGUCCACGUCUGAACAAGAACACGAGAGACUGCAAGACUGGGAAGAAGUCAUCAUGUCAUCACAGCCACAUUUGCUUCGUUUUAAAAAUUAUUUUGCUUUGUUGUUUUUUUUUAAAGUCAAGUCAAGACAAGUCAUCUUUAUUUAUAUAGCACCUUAUAUAUGACCAAUCUGUAUAUAUGACCCCUUUGAAUAAAUGUUUUUAUAGUGAAUACAAAAGAAGAAAUGCUUUUAAACAGUCUUGGCCUAUGAGAAGUGAAAAGGCAAUGACAUA